AAAGUGCUUGCUCGGUCUACUAACAAUGUUGUAGGGAGAAGCCCUGGCAGAGGGGGAGAGCUGCCCUCUGUGAUACUUCCAUCAUCUUGUACCUUAGUGACUGACUCCCGGUGUUCAGCAGCAAAGAUGGUGUUUUUGUGGGCUUCCUCUGCAUGUCUGCGUAUUAUGUGGCAGCAUUCUGGUUAAGAGCGGGCAAGCAGACAGGCUAUGCAUGGGGUUUCUCCUCGGUUUGUUUCAUCUCCCUGGAAAGCAGACAUCGUGGCUUGAUCUCCAGCAGUUCUGUGGAAUCACGAGUUUUCGAUGUCUGUAUCUCGGGUACUGUUCUGGUUCUGAGGAAAGGCAGAAGUAUCAGAAGGCAGUUCGCCCAGUGUUUUCAGUCCAGAUCUCAUUAACUACCUACCACCUUUGAGUUGGAGCAGUCACAACGAGCCUUGAAGAGUGAGAGGAGCUGGCCAGCAAGUUUUUAAAUAAAUGUAUUGCUGUAAAACUUCUAUGUAACACUGUCAGCAGCUUCAUGCAAUUCCCAGGCUACCAAGUGAAGAGCAGCCACCUCCACCGUGCAUGAGACUCUGCCUCCUCACGUUCCCUAGAGCAAGGGACCCUUUGGAUCGUGAGCCCAAACUCUCCUUCCUCCCUAAGUUGAUUUGUCUCAUGACCAGCAGUGAGAUGCCCUGGUUUUCACCGCUUCUUCUGACUCCAGAGAUUUAAUGUUUUUCAGAAAGCAGUGCAGGAGUUGUUACUGUGGACAGACACACGGACGAAAGUGGAGCUGUGCAAAGCGUGUGUGACUGUGAAGCAUCAGCAUCACAUGGACACUUGAUAACAACUCAAAUUCUCCCACCCUCUACCUGACAGCUCCUCAGUUAGAAACUGCUCAUUAUGCUGCUGACGUCCCUCCACUCAGCAGAGAUGGGGAAAGGGAACAAUGACUCGAUGAUGAGUGGAUAGGAUGGAGAAUUCUACCUCUGAGACAGCACACCCCUUCCCCCCUGCACUCUCCUGACUGUCAACACUGGUGUCUGUCAGCUGGUGGCCAGACAUCUGAACAGACUUUGCCAAUUAGAGAAGUCACACCUCUUGGUUGGCAGGCACACGCUAUUGUGCCUGAGACCACAGCAGAGAGCCAUAUGGCUUUCACAAAAAGGAUUCGCCAAGGGAGAGACAGGGGGUGCCCCUGAGGGCACCUGUGUCAGGUGGGGAGGCCCUUUCUGAUGAAGUUCACAGGUAAAGCUGGAGGGUGGGCUGUUAUUUGACGUGGCUAUAACUCAGAGCUAUUGUGACUCCACUUCAAAUCAUCACUUCCUUCGGGGGACGCUUGUAUAGAAUUUGUCUUGGCAGCCUGAAGCCCCUUCUGUUCUUUUGUUCUUCGGCAUUUCCCCAGGUCUCUGAUGGUGAACUCUUGAGUGUUGCUCCGCUGUGUGGGGGAAAAGAGAACAGGGGAAUAACAGUUGCCGGUCCCCGCCC
Peromyscus leucopus (white-footed mouse) is the source of this 1464-nucleotide long non-coding RNA. RefSeq lists it as uncharacterized. The transcript is spliced from 5 exons. Lineage: Eukaryota; Metazoa; Chordata; Mammalia; Rodentia; Cricetidae. The record is from RefSeq and is a predicted model, not a curated record.